Molecule: ribosomal RNA, 2317 nt
Filed under: Vibrio parahaemolyticus
Lineage: Bacteria; Pseudomonadati; Pseudomonadota; Gammaproteobacteria; Vibrionales; Vibrionaceae
Description: 23S ribosomal RNA
Source: RNAcentral
GUUGUAUGGUUAAGUGACUAAGCGUACACGGUGGAUGCCUUGGCAGUCAGAGGCGAUGAAAGACGUAGUAACUUGCGAUAAGCCCAGAUUAGGUAGUAACAACCAUUUGAGUCUGGGAUUUCUGAAUGGGGAAACCCACGUGCAUAAGCACGUAUCCUUACCUGAAUACAUAGGGUAAGGAGGCGAACCGGGGGAACUGAAACAUCUAAGUACCCCGAGGAAAAGAAAUCAACCGAGAUUCCGAAAGUAGCGGCGAGCGAAAUUGGACUAGCCCUUAAGCUUUACACGCGUUAGACGAACGGUCUGGAAAGUCCGACGAUACAGGGUGAUAGUCCCGUAGUUGACGACGUGUGUUCAGUGAAAUCGAGUAGGGCGGGACACGUGAUAUCCUGUCUGAAUAUGGGGGGACCAUCCUCCAAGGCUAAAUACUACUGACUGACCGAUAGUGAACCAGUACCGUGAGGGAAAGGCGAAAAGAACCCCUGUGAGGGGAGUGAAAUAGAACCUGAAACCGUGUACGUACAAGCAGUAGGAGCAGGCUUUGUCCUGUGACUGCGUACCUUUUGUAUAAUGGGUCAGCGACUUAUAUUCAGUGGCAAGGUUAACCAUCUAGGGGAGCCGUAGGGAAACCGAGUCUUAACUGGGCGUUCAGUCUCUGGAUAUAGACCCGAAACCAGGUGAUCUAGCCAUGGGCAGGUUGAAGGUUGAGUAACAUCAACUGGAGGACCGAACCGACUAAUGUUGAAAAAUUAGCGGAUGACUUGUGGCUAGGGGUGAAAGGCCAAUCAAACCUGGAGAUAGCUGGUUCUCCCCGAAAGCUAUUUAGGUAGCGCCUCGGACGAAUACUACUGGGGGUAGAGCACUGUUAAGGCUAGGGGGUCAUCCCGACUUACCAACCCUUUGCAAACUCCGAAUACCAGUAAGUACUAUCCGGGAGACACACGGCGGGUGCUAACGUCCGUCGUGGAGAGGGAAACAACCCAGACCGCCAGCUAAGGUCCCAAAUUACUACUAAGUGGGAAACGAUGUGGGAAGGCUCAGACAGCCAGGAUGUUGGCUUAGAAGCAGCCAUCAUUUAAAGAAAGCGUAAUAGCUCACUGGUCGAGUCGGCCUGCGCGGAAGAUGUAACGGGGCUAAGUAGUAAACCGAAGCUGCGGCAAUAUACUUUUGUAUAUUGGGUAGGGGAGCGUUCUGUAAGCGGUUGAAGGUGUGUGGUAACGCAUGCUGGACGUAUCAGAAGUGCGAAUGCUGACACUACGGRUGUGAAGUCAUUGAUGCCAUGCUUCCAGGAAAAGCCUCUAAGCUUCAGAUUGUAAGGAAUCGUACCCCAAACCGACACAGGUGGUCGGGUAGAGAAUACCAAGGCGCUUGAGAGAACUCGGGUGAAGGAACUAGGCAAAAUGGUACCGUAACUUCGGGAGAAGGUACGCUCUUGAUGGUGAAGUCCCUUGCGGAUGGAGCUGACGAGAGUCGCAGAUACCAGGUGGCUGCAACUGUUUAUUAAAAACACAGCACUGUGCAAAAUCGUAAGAUGACGUAUACGGUGUGACGCCUGCCCGGUGCCGGAAGGUUAAUUGAUGGGGUUAGACUUCGGUCGAAGCUCUUGAUCGAAGCCCCGGUAAACGGCGGCCGUAACUAUAACGGUCCUAAGGUAGCGAAAUUCCUUGUCGGGUAAGUUCCGACCUGCACGAAUGGCGUAAUGAUGGCCACGCUGUCUCCACCCGAGACUCAGUGAAAUUGAAAUCGCUGUGAAGAUGCAGUGUACCCGCGGCUAGACGGAAAGACCCCGUGAACCUUUACUACAGCUUGGCACUGAACAUUGACCCUACAUGUGUAGGAUAGGUGGGAGGCUUUGAAGCACGUACGCCAGUAUGUGUGGAGCCGUCCUUGAAAUACCACCCUUGUAGUGUUGAUGUUCUAACGUYGACCCCUAAUCGGGGUUGCGGACAGUGCCUGGUGGGUAGUUUGACUGGGGCGGUCUCCUCCCAAAGAGUAACGGAGGAGCACGAAGGUGGGCUAAUCACGGUUGGACAUCGUGAGGUUAGUGCAAUGGCAUAAGCCCGCUUGACUGCGAGAAUGACAAUUCGAGCAGGUGCGAAAGCAGGUCAUAGUGAUCCGGUGGUUCUGAAUGGAAGGGCCAUCGCUCAACGGAUAAAAGGUACUCCGGGGAUAACAGGCUGAUACCGCCCAAGAGUUCAUAUCGACGGCGGUGUUUGGCACCUCGAUGUCGGCUCAUCACAUCCUGGGGCUGAAGUCGGUCCGAGCUAACUGAUACUAAUUGCCCGUGAGGCUUAACCAUACAACACCCAAGGGGUUU